Molecule: ribosomal RNA, 515 nt
Filed under: uncultured bacterium
Lineage: Bacteria
Description: partial 16S ribosomal RNA
Rfam family: Bacterial small subunit ribosomal RNA
Source: RNAcentral
GAUGAACGCUGGCGGCGUGCCUAAUACAUGCAAGUCGAGCGAAUGGAUUAAGAGCUUGCUCUUAUGAAGUUAGCGGCGGACGGGUGAGUAACACGUGGGUAACCUGCCCAUAAGACUGGGAUAACUCCGGGAAACCGGGGCUAAUACCGGAUAACAUUUUGAACCGCAUGGUUCGAAAUUGAAAGGCGGCUUCGGCUGUCACUUGUGGAUGGACCCGCGUCGCAUUAGCGAGUUGGUGAGGUAACGGCUCACCAAGGCAACGAUGGGUAGCCGAUCUGAGAGGGUGAUCGGCCACACUGGGACUGAGACACGGCCCAGACUCCUACGGGAGGCAGCAGUAGGGAAUCUUCCGCAAUGGGCGAAAGUCUGACGGAGCAACGCCGCGUGAGUGAUGAAGGCUUUCGGGUCGUAAAACUCUGUUGUUAGGGAAGAACAAGUGCUAGUUGAAUAAGCUGGCACCUUGACGGUACCUAACCAGAAAGCCACGGCUAACUACGUGCCAGCCGCCGCGGUAC